This 397-nucleotide ribosomal RNA is filed under the name uncultured bacterium. RNAcentral's name for it is "partial 16S ribosomal RNA". It matches the Rfam family "Bacterial small subunit ribosomal RNA", at positions 523 to 918 of the family's 1533-position model. The record is from RNAcentral.
AUACGUAGGGGGCGAGCGUUGUCCGGAAUGAUUGGGCGUAAAGGGCGCGUAGGCGGCCCGGUAAGUCUGGGGUGAAAGUCCUGUUUUUAAGAUGGGAAUUGCUUUGGAUACUGUCGGGCUUGAGUGCAGGAGAGGUAAGUGGAAUUCCCAGGGUAGCGGUGAAAUGCGUAGAGAUUGGGAGGAACACCAGUGGCGAAGGCGACUUACUGGACUGUAACUGACGCUGAGGCGCGAAAGUGUGGGGAGCAAACAGGAUUAGAUACCCUGGUAGUCCACACUGUAAACGAUGAAUGCUAGGUGUAGGGGGUAUCGACCCCUUCUGUGCCGCAGUCAACACAAUAAGCAUUCCGCCUGGGGAGUACGGCCGCAAGGUUGAAACUCAAAUGAAUUGACGGGG